Molecule: long non-coding RNA, 565 nt
Organism: Arachis duranensis
Lineage: Eukaryota; Viridiplantae; Streptophyta; Magnoliopsida; Fabales; Fabaceae
Exons: 4
Source: RefSeq, a predicted model, not a curated record
AUAUAUAUUCAUCAGAUGUGAAAUUCUUUCUUUUUCUAAUCUUUCUUUUCUACCACUAGCUAUAUAGCUAAUAGCUUUCUUUUCUAAUCAAUUGAGAAGCAAUGUAGGUUGGCCAAUUAAUAUAUUUACAAGGAUUGAAAGGGAAGGCCAUAAAUCAAUACAGAAACCUUUUUUGUGGAGACUCGUGGCAAGGGUUCUGCCAAAAAGGAUCUUAAUAGCCAAAGGAACUUGUUCCGAGAUAUUUUAGAAUUUUUUCAGAGGUAUUUUUCAACGAGGAAGAACCAUUGAAGCUGAAGCAAAAUUUAAGAAGCUCUUGAGAAGAAUAAAUGUGAAAUCUGAAAAGGUUGACCUGUCAAAGAGUAAGAAAGAAACUCUAGUUCUCUGUCAAAAGUUGAAGAACUACUGGACAAAAAGAUAAUCUGACUCGGCAGACACAUCAGGUGCUGGCCCUUAAUUAUCACUAGGCUUCUAGUUGCAGAUACUCAAGCAGGAAGUCUGAUUGGAAAGCAGGGUUCCACCACAAAAUCCAUUCAAGAUGGCUCUGGUUACAUUAUAUGUGUUCUUG